AAUGAACGCUGGCGGCAGGCCUAACACAUGCAAGUCGAGCGGAUGAAGGGAGCUUGCUCCUGGAUUCAGCGGCGGACGGGUGAGUAAUGCCUAGGAAUCUGCCUUAAAGUGGGGGAUAACGUCCGGAAACGGGCGCUAAUACCGCAUACGUCCUUAUGGAGAAAGUGGGGGAUCUUCCGUCCUCACGCUAUCAGAUUAGCCUAGGUCGGUUUAGCUAGGUGGUGGGGUAAAGGCCUACCAAGGCGGCUAACCGUAACUGGUCUGAGAGGAUGACCAGAUACAUGGGAAGUGAGAAAGGGCCCAGACUCUGAGGGGAGGAAGCAGUGGGGACUAUUGCGCGAUGGGGGAGAGGCUGAUCCAGCAAUGCCGCGUGUGUGCAGAAGGUCUUAGGACGCUAAAGCGCUUAAGGUUGGGAGGUAGUAAAGUUCUUUUACCCCUGGUUAUUUUGACGGUACCAACAGAAUAAGCACCGGCUAACUUCGUG
This 484-nucleotide ribosomal RNA is filed under the name uncultured bacterium. RNAcentral's name for it is "partial 16S ribosomal RNA". It matches the Rfam family "Bacterial small subunit ribosomal RNA", at positions 29 to 507 of the family's 1533-position model. The record is from RNAcentral.